Molecule: long non-coding RNA, 246 nt
Organism: Haliotis rubra (blacklip abalone)
Lineage: Eukaryota; Metazoa; Mollusca; Gastropoda; Lepetellida; Haliotidae
Exons: 2
Source: RefSeq, a predicted model, not a curated record
UCGUCAGAUGGACAAUACCUCAACGGAGACAAAUGUGCUAUGGAAUAUCUCGAUGCAGUGUCACAUUUAACCAGGUACUAGUGAUCUAGAAUUAAUGUACAAAUGUAUUGUAUGCAACAUGUGCAAUAAUUGCAUGUAACUGUGUAUUUAUAAGUGCUAUGCAAUAUGAAAAAUGAAUGAAGAUAUGUGCAAUAGAUGUAUGCAUGUAAAAGUACUCAUGAAAUGUGUAAAAUAAUUGUGUAACUG